AGAGUUUGAUCAUGGCUCAGAAUCAACGCUGGCGGCGUGCCUAACACAUGCAAGUCGAGCGAGAAAAGGGGAGCAAUCUCCUGAGUACAGCGGCGCACGGGUGAGUAACACGUGGGUAAUCUGCCCUGGAGUGGGGAAUAACACCGGGAAACCGGUGCUAAUACCGCAUACGAUAAUGAGGUCUGCGGACUUUGUUAUGAAAGGAGCAAUUCGCUCUAGGAGGAGCCCGCGGCUGAUUAGCUAGUUGGUGAGGUAAUGGCUCACCAAGGCUACGAUCAGUAUCCGGUCUGAGAGGACGGUCGGACACACUGGAACUGAGACACGGUCCAGACUCCUACGGGAGGCAGCAGUGGGGAAUUUUUGGCAGUGGGGGCAACCCUGACCAAGCAACGCCGCGUGGGUGAUGAAGUAUUUCGGUAUGUAAAACCCUUUCGACGGGGAAGAAAACCGCAAGGUUUGACGGUACCCGUAGAAGAAGCCCCGGCUAACUCCGUGCCAGCAGCCGCGGUAAUACGGGGGGGGCAAGCGUUGUUCGGAAUUACUGGGCGUAAAGGGCGCGUAGGCGGUCCGCUAAGUUAGAUGUGAAAACUCUGGGCUUAACCCAGAGCCUGCAUCUAAUACUGACGGGCUAGAGUUCUGGAGGGGGUAGCGGAAUUCCUGGUGUAGCGGUGAAAUGCGUAGAUAUCAGGAGGAACACCGGUGGCGAAGGCGGCUACCUGGACAGAAACUGACGCUGAGGCGCGAAAGCUAGGGGAGCAAACAGGAUUAGAUACCCUAGUAGUCC
RNAcentral lists this ribosomal RNA (784 nucleotides) under uncultured bacterium. Its description in RNAcentral is "bacterial SSU rRNA". It matches the Rfam family "Bacterial small subunit ribosomal RNA", at positions 8 to 796 of the family's 1533-position model. The record is from RNAcentral.